Molecule: ribosomal RNA, 393 nt
Filed under: uncultured bacterium
Lineage: Bacteria
Description: partial 16S ribosomal RNA
Rfam family: Bacterial small subunit ribosomal RNA
Source: RNAcentral
AUACGGAGGAUCCGAGCGUUAUCCGGAUUUAUUGGGUUUAAAGGGAGCGUAGGCGGACGCUUAAGUCAGUUGUGAAAGUUUGCGGCUCAACCGUAAAAUUGCAGUUGAUACUGGGUGUCUUGAGUACAGUAGAGGCAGGCGGAAUUCGUGGUGUAGCGGUGAAAUGCUUAGAUAUCACGAAGAACUCCGAUUGCGAAGGCGGCCUGCUGGACUGUAACUGACGCUGAUGCUCGAAAGUGUGGGUAUCAAACAGGAUUAGAUACCCUGGUAGUCCACACAGUAAACGAUGAAUACUCGCUGUUUGCGAUAUACAGUAAGCGGCCAAGCGAAAGCGUUAAGUAUUCCACCUGGGGAGUACGCCGGCAACGGUGAAACUCAAAUGAAUUGACGGGG